RNAcentral lists this ribosomal RNA (590 nucleotides) under Saccharomyces cerevisiae (brewer's yeast). RNAcentral describes it as "eukaryotic LSU rRNA". It matches the Rfam family "Eukaryotic large subunit ribosomal RNA", at positions 65 to 673 of the family's 3401-position model. The record is from RNAcentral. Lineage: Eukaryota; Fungi; Ascomycota; Saccharomycetes; Saccharomycetales; Saccharomycetaceae.
ACAACGGGUAUUGCUUAGUACGGCGAGUGAGCGGCAAAAGCUCAAAUUUGAAAUCUGGUACCUUCGGUGCCCGAGUUGUAAUUUGGAGAGGGCAACUUUGGGGCCGUUCCUUGUCUAUGUUCCUUGGAACAGGACGUCAUAGAGGGUGAGAAUCCCGUGUGGCGAGGAGUGCGGUUCUUUGUAAAGUGCCUUCGAAGAGUCGAGUUGUUUGGGAAUGCAGCUCUAAGUGGGUGGUAAAUUCCAUCUAAAGCUAAAUAUUGGCGAGAGACCGAUAGCGAACAAGUACAGUGAUGGAAAGAUGAAAAGAACUUUGAAAAGAGAGUGAAAAAGUACGUGAAAUUGUUGAAAGGGAAGGGCAUUUGAUCAGACAUGGUGUUUUGUGCCCUCUGCUCCUUGUGGGUAGGGGAAUCUCGCAUUUCACUGGGCCAGCAUCAGUUUUGGUGGCAGGAUAAAUCCAUAGGAAUGUAGCUUGCCUCGGUAAGUAUUAUAGCCUGUGGGAAUACUGCCAGCUGGGACUGAGGACUGCGACGUAAGUCAAGGAUGCUGGCAUAAUGGUUAUAUGCCGCCCGUCUUGAACAACGGACCAACAG